AGCGGCAAAAGCUCAAAUUUGAAAUCUAGCACCUUCGGUGUUCGAGUUGUAAUUUGAAGAUGGUAACCUUGGGUUUGGCUCUUGUCUAUGUUCCUUGGAACAGGACGUCAUAGAGGGUGAGAAUCCCGUCUGAUGAGAUGCCCAUUCCUAUGUAAGGUGCUAUCGAAGAGUCGAGUUGUUUGGGAAUGCAGCUCUAAGUGGGUGGUAAAUUCCAUCUAAAGCUAAAUAUUGGCGAGAGACCGAUAGCGAACAAGUACAGUGAUGGAAAGAUGAAAAGAACUUUGAAAAGAGAGUGAAAAAGUACGUGAAAUUGUUGAAAGGGAAGGGCAUUAGAUCAGACUUGGUGUUUUACGAUUAUCUUCUCUUCUUGAGUUGUGCACUCGUAUUUCACUGGGCCAGCAUCGAUUCGGAUGGCAAGAUAAUGGCAGUUGAAUGUGGCUUCACUUCGGUGGAGUGUUAUAGCUUCUGCUGAUAUUGCCUGUCUGGAUCGAGGGCUGCGUCUUUUGACUAGGAUGCUGGCGUAAUGAUCUAAUGCCGCCCGUCUUG
RNAcentral lists this ribosomal RNA (546 nucleotides) under Hansenula anomala. RNAcentral's name for it is "Wickerhamomyces anomalus partial large subunit ribosomal RNA". It matches the Rfam family "Eukaryotic large subunit ribosomal RNA", at positions 97 to 656 of the family's 3401-position model. The record is from RNAcentral. Lineage: Eukaryota; Fungi; Ascomycota; Saccharomycetes; Phaffomycetales; Wickerhamomycetaceae.